This 72-nucleotide transfer RNA is filed under the name Phrynosoma platyrhinos (Desert horned lizard). RNAcentral's name for it is "tRNA-OTHER". Lineage: Eukaryota; Metazoa; Chordata; Lepidosauria; Squamata; Phrynosomatidae. The record is from RNAcentral.
GCCAAUGUAGCGUAGCGGUUUAAGUGUUGGACAAUGACUCUGGAGACCAGGGUUUGAUUCCCUGCUUGGUCA